AGCGAACGCUGGCGGCAGGCUUAACACAUGCAAGUCGAGCGGCCGUAGCAAUACGGCAGCGGCAGACGGGAGAGUAACACGUGGGAACGUACCCCUCAGUUCGGAACAACCAAGGGAGACUUUGGCUAAUACCGAAUACGUCCGUAAGGAGAAAGAUUUAUCGCUGAAGGAUCGGCCCGCGUCUGAUUAGCUAGUUGGUGAGGUAACGGCUCACCAAGGCGACGAUCAGUAGCUGGUCUGAGAGGAUGAUCAGCCUCACUGGGACUGAGACACGGCCCAGACUCCUACGGGAGGCAGCAGUGGGGAAUAUUGGACAAUGGGCGCAAGCCUGAUCCAGCCAUGCCGCGUGGAUGAUGAAGGCCUUAGGGUUGUAAAGUCCUUUUAACGGGGAAGAUAAUGACGGUACCCGUAGAAUAAGCCCCGGCUAACUUCGUGCCAGCCGCCGCAGUAA
This 451-nucleotide ribosomal RNA is filed under the name uncultured bacterium. Its description in RNAcentral is "partial 16S ribosomal RNA". It matches the Rfam family "Bacterial small subunit ribosomal RNA", at positions 29 to 523 of the family's 1533-position model. The record is from RNAcentral.